This 279-nucleotide non-coding RNA is filed under the name Eucalyptus grandis. Its description in RNAcentral is "Bacterial small subunit ribosomal RNA". It matches the Rfam family "Bacterial small subunit ribosomal RNA", at positions 49 to 525 of the family's 1533-position model. The record is from Rfam by way of RNAcentral. Lineage: Eukaryota; Viridiplantae; Streptophyta; Magnoliopsida; Myrtales; Myrtaceae.
UAGUGGCUUCGUUACAUGCCUCAUUUCAUAGGGAACCUCAAAGUGGCUCUAUUUCAUUAUAUUCCAUCCAUAUCACAAUUCCAUUCAUUUAAUAUCCCUUUGGUGUCCAUUGACUUUUCCGCAAUGGGCGAAAGCCUGACGGAGCAAUGCCGCGUGGAGGUAGAAGGCCCACGGGUCGUGAACUUCUUUUCCCGGAGAAGAAGCAAUGACGGUAUCUGGGGAAUAACUAUCGGCUAACUCUGUGCCAGCAGCCGUUUCGAAAAAACCCAAUUGGUAAUA